GAAAUGCGAUAAGUAAUGUGAAUUGCAGAAUUCAGUGAAUCAUCGAAUCUUUGAACGCACCUUGCGCUCCUUGGUAUUCCUUGGAGCAUGCCUGUUUGAGUAUCAUGAAAUCUUCAAAGUAAAUCUUUUGUUAACUCAAUUGGUUUCUACUUUGGUAUUGGAGGUCUUUGCAGCUUCACACCUGCUCCUCUUUGUUCAUUAGCUGGAUCUCAGUGUUAUGCUUGGUUCCACUCGGCGUGAUAAGUUAUCUAUCGCUGAGGACACUGUACAAGGUGGCCAAGGUAAAUGCAGAUGAACCGCUUCUAAUAGUCCAUUGACUUGUACAAUACUUUUAUGAUCUGAUCUCAAAUCAGGUAGGACUACCCGCUGAACUUAAGC
RNAcentral lists this unclassified non-coding RNA (378 nucleotides) under plant metagenome. Its description in RNAcentral is "partial contains 5.8S ribosomal RNA, internal transcribed spacer 2, and large subunit ribosomal RNA". The stretch from base 1 to 105 matches the Rfam family "5.8S ribosomal RNA", at positions 50 to 154 of the family's 154-position model. The record is from RNAcentral.